This is a long non-coding RNA of Gadus macrocephalus (Pacific cod), 2955 nucleotides long. RefSeq lists it as uncharacterized. The record is from RefSeq and is a predicted model, not a curated record. NCBI's taxonomy places the organism in Eukaryota, Metazoa, Chordata, Actinopteri, Gadiformes, Gadidae. The transcript is spliced from 3 exons.
CCAAAUUCCCAUUAAAAAAAUAUAGAUAAUCUUUUAUUUUAUUGUGCAGAUCUCAAAGACCAGAGGUUGGACAUAAGAGGUCAAUAUAUUCUACUUCCUACUGUUUUUAUAGUGAUGUGGCAGAUUUUAAAUGUUAUUUAAAAUAUUGUAUGUAGUGGGACAUCUGUAUGAAGUGCUACAGAAAUACUAUGAUGAGUUCUUCUGAUUAAUUCUUGAUUGUCUGAUUCUAGAACCCAACUGUUAUGUAGCGAUGUUGGUGCACCGGAUACUGUUGGCCUGCUGUCUGCUUGUGAUUUUAAUCCUAUCUUUAACAAGAAAUAAGAAAAAACUCGGACGUUGUUGCCCAUGACAUGGUGAUAACACAACCAGUUGUUAAUCAGCUUGAAAAUAUUGCAUUGUUUAUUCAGUUAGGAGGAUUUAAUAGUGUAUCCAUUAUUCAGCAUCAACAUCUCGUGUCUUAGAGAUUGGUUAAAAUCAGUACUACCAUCAGAUUCUUGGCCUGCUUGUCACCAUUCUCAUGUUUGAUUUCUUUGUUUGUUUGCAAACUUAAUAAAUAACUUAAAUUAGGCAUAUAAUAUGCAGACUGGAAAAUGUUAUACUGAAUAUUUUUUGAUGGUUUAAUAUGAUUAAUAAAGUUUCUUUGUUGGAAAUAAAUUGGGAAUUCCGUCGUGAUUUCUGUAUCAGGUUGAUCAAAAAAUAUCUGAAAGGACAUGUUUAUAACACGCAGGACCUUUCAUUACAAAAUAGCCAUACGGUAAACAUAAAUUCAUGAAGGUAUCGGGAUCAUUUGCUGAAGCAAUAUAUGUAUCGUCAGGUUGGCUCAAAACCAAUUGUCAAUUCACAACAACUAUUUAGCACCCUGCCAAGCCCCAGACCAUCUCAGAACUUGGCUGACAGCGUGUGGACCUGCCCUGGAGGGAGUGACAUGGGUGGUUCCUGAGUAGUGACGUUCAAUAUGUUGUGUUUUCUUGCUGUUUUGGCGAUUGUAGUGUAAAUGGUUUUACAUAUUGCUGUGAGCUUAAAGGUUGCAUUGACUAUUCUUUGGGUGCUGUGGUAACGCAGGCUACCUUUGCCCCAGUCUAGCUGAAGUGCGAUGCCUCCCACUCAUCUACUAAUCUUGCCCCCAUUACAGGAAGGGGACAGAAUGAGAGAUGCAUAGCAUCCUCUGGUGCAGUUGGUAGCAGUAGCAUCGGCGUUCAAACCACAGUGCUGACAUAGUUAGCACAGGAUGAGCGCUCAUAACAGGAUCUGUGACACCAGGCAGUUAAAACCACAAACAUAAAGGCCAUCCUGUGACGGACACUAGACAGUCUACACUUUCAUGCCUCAAAUCAUCUGUUUGUUAAUCAUUUCUUAUUGUUAUCACUUAUGUUCACACAUAAACACACCUAUUCACACACACACACACACACACACACACACACACACACACACACACACACACACGUGAUGCCAAUGAGAUUGAAUCUACUCUAUGUAAGUCAUUUCACAAUCUAUGUUGUAGCUGCAUCUCCUUGGUAGUAUCCAUCUUAUUCUGCCUCAAUUUGCAUAGCCUGUGACUUUGUGGUGACUCGCAAUUUUCACAUUGGGGGUAUCAGCAAAGACAGUGACAGGUUAACAUGCAAUUGACCCACAUGUGCACAGUUUAAUUGACAUCAAACCCAGUCUGUGAUGACAUCCUUCUUUCUUUGCUGUAUCACAGCCAUUGUAAAAAAGAACAGCGUCCUUCCUACAGUGGUUUGAUUUUGAAAACUGGAGCUCAUCAAAAUGCAGGACAUCGUCUCAAUAUGUAGGACGCGGGACAAGGGAUAAAAAUGCUAUGUCGCCACUUAAAUCUACAUCAAGGGACCCACUCAUGAAUAAAGUGAACUUUAUUAAGGUAAAACGAGUGCAAGUUAUUUUACAAAAGAAAAGUCAGGACCCCAUAUUGUCUGCAAAUCUUUGAUAUAGGGCAGAGCAGUCACAGUCAAUAUGUUUCAUUAAUCUAAAUAUCGGUUACAUAACUACAUUUACCUUUCCUUCAACUCAUGUCGUUUUCUGGCUGCCAUUUUACAACAGUAGAUCAAGAGUUAGAUGACAAAAAUACAUGAUACCAAGACACUGGAAAACUUUUUUAAUGCCCCUGUUCAAUGUAAUAGGCUGAUGUUAAGCGGCUUCAGGCUAUUCCUCGUCUCUGGGCAUAUAUAGCCGCUCAAAUAAAGAUAGUAAAUGCUAUCCCAGCUAUCCUAACCUAUGAACUUAAAAUCCAACUGAAAACUAAGAGGAAAUAGUAUUAGCCGUAUUGUAAUGUAAGGGUUACUCUCAGUCCUACUUAUUUGCAAACUUCUAAAAAGAUUGAAGAAAAAAGAUGCGGGCGUGGUUAGAACCAACGCGCGUUAUCAGAAUAAGAAAAAAUGUUAAAGAAUGCUGAACCCAGUACCAUGUUAUCUAAACUGUUCAAUCUAACAUGAACUACACCUCACAGAUAACUAAGCAGAUCAUUGGAUUGCUUCAUGCGGUAUCUCUCAGUUCUAGCCAAUCACAGUUCACCUUUGGUAUGUCAAUGUGGGUCUUCAAAGUCAAAAUCAUUCAUUUGAGACAGUACAGCGCAAAAAAUCACAAUGUUAGCAAGAUUGUUUGCUAUGAUACUUCUAAGAGAGGCAUAUUGAGACGCAAGAGAUUCCUCGUUGGAUCACUGUGAAUACUGCUGAACUUGGAGAUACUGUUAGUCUAGAUUGUGCAGCUUUACCAGACGAUAGUGUAAGGAUUUACUGGUAUAAACAAUCUCUUGGAUAUGUUCCCCAAACAGUCGCUGCUAAAACAUAUGAAAAGAUGACAUUCAAUCCACCCUUUCAUUUGAGAUUCACAGUGGGAUCGGACUUUAAUUUGACAAUCAGAAACGUAACUAAAGGCGAUGAAGCAAACUAUUUCUGUCAACAAGGUGUUUUGAACAGUUGGAACAAGGGCACAUUUUUA